ACUCAAAUGAAUUGACGGGGGCCCGCACAAGCGGUGGAGUAUGUGGUUUAAUUCGAUGAUACGCGAGAAACCUUACCUGGUCUUGACAUCCUAAGGAGCCUUGAGAGAUUGAGGUGUGCCUAGCAAUAGGAGCUUAGAGACAGGUGGUGCAUGGUUGUCGUCAGCUCGUGUCGUGAGAUGUUGGGUUAAGUCCCGCAACGAGCGCAACCCUUGUCGUUAGUUACCAGCACGUAAUGGUGGGCACUCUAACGAGACUGCCGGUGACAAACCGGAGGAAGGUGGGGAUGACGUCAAAUCAUCACGCCCCUUACGACCAGGGCCACACACGUACUACAAUGCUCGGUACAACGAGUUGCAAGACCGCGAGGUUGAGCCAAUCUCUUAAAGCCGGGCCAAGUUCAGAUCGGAGGCUGCAAUUCGCCUCCGUGAAGCUGGAAUCGCUAGUAAACGCAAAUCAGCAUGUUGCGUUGAAUACGUUCUCGGGCCUUGUACACACCGCCCGU
Molecule: ribosomal RNA, 503 nt
Filed under: uncultured bacterium
Lineage: Bacteria
Description: bacterial SSU rRNA
Rfam family: Bacterial small subunit ribosomal RNA
Source: RNAcentral